UACGAAUCGUCCAAACGUUGUUCGGAUUUACUGGGUUUAAAGGGCGCGUAGGCGGUGCGCUAAGUCGGUGGUGAAAUACUUCGGCUCAACCGGAGAAUUGCCGCUGAAACUGGCGUGCUCGAGGGAGGUAGAGGUGCGUGGAACUUCCGGUGGAGCGGUGAAAUGCGUUGAUAUCGGAAGGAACACCUGUGGCGAAAGCGAUGCACUGGACCUCUUCUGACGCUGAGGCGCGAAAGCCAGGGGAGCAAACGGG
This 253-nucleotide ribosomal RNA is filed under the name uncultured bacterium. RNAcentral describes it as "partial 16S ribosomal RNA". It matches the Rfam family "Bacterial small subunit ribosomal RNA", at positions 524 to 776 of the family's 1533-position model. The record is from RNAcentral.